This 382-nucleotide ribosomal RNA is filed under the name uncultured archaeon. RNAcentral's name for it is "bacterial SSU rRNA". It matches the Rfam family "Archaeal small subunit ribosomal RNA", at positions 345 to 727 of the family's 1478-position model. The record is from RNAcentral.
AACCUCCGCAAUGUGAGAAAUCGCGACGGGGGGACCCCAAGUGCCAUUCUUAACGGGAUGGCUUUUCUUAAGUGUAAAAAGCUUUUGGAAUAAGAGCUGGGCAAGACCGGUGCCAGCCGCCGCGGUAACACCGGCAGCUCUAGUGGUAGCCAUUUUUAUUGGGCCUAAAGCGUUCGUAGCCGGUUUAAUAAGUCUCUGGUGAAAUCCCGUAGCUUAACUAUGGGAAUUGCUGGAGAUACUAUUAGACUUGAGGUCGGGAGAGGUUAGAGGUACUCCCAGGGUAGGGGUGAAAUCCUGUAAUCCUGGGAGGACCACCUGUGGCGAAGGCGUCUAACUGGAACGAACCUGACGGUGAGGGACGAAAGCUAGGGGCGCGAACCGG